This 253-nucleotide ribosomal RNA is filed under the name uncultured bacterium. RNAcentral's name for it is "partial 16S ribosomal RNA". It matches the Rfam family "Bacterial small subunit ribosomal RNA", at positions 524 to 776 of the family's 1533-position model. The record is from RNAcentral.
UACGUAGGGUGCGAGCGUUAAUCGGAAUUACUGGGCGUAAAGCGUGCGCAGGCGGCUUUGCAAGACAGAUGUGAAAUCCCCGGGCUCAACCUGGGAACUGCAUUUGUGACUGCAAGGCUAGAGUACGGCAGAGGGGGAUGGAAUUCCGCGUGUAGCAGUGAAAUGCGUAGAUUUGCGGAGGAACACCAAUGGCGAAGGCAAUCCCCUGGGCCUGUACUGACGCUCAUGCACGAAAGCGUGGGGAGCAAACAGG